Dermacentor albipictus is the source of this 483-nucleotide non-coding RNA. NCBI's taxonomy places the organism in Eukaryota, Metazoa, Arthropoda, Arachnida, Ixodida, Ixodidae. The record is from RefSeq and is a predicted model, not a curated record.
AAAACGGUCCUGAACGCAAACGCAGUUUCCCUGUGCUCCUGGCGCGUCGUGACCUUAUUAGUUAAAUUACUGUUCCCGUAGCGGAUUCGACAUAUCUGACGUUCUAAGUCACAAAGUUGGCCAUUCCGACCAGAAACGAGUACGCAUUUGAAGAUGGUACACCAAGCGAUAGACGGACUAGAAGGGAGCAGUCACAUCGUGGAAGGUCGGACGGAAUACGGAGCUGUAAAUUAUGAUCCAGGGUAUGGAGGCGUGCACUUGUGAAGCCGGAUGAAUUCUGUUGGUCCAAUGGUGAUUGCUGAUAUGGUGUUUGGGGAGUACAUACAACUAUACAUGACGAGCUGUCGUGUAACAAGCCAUGAGCUUUGCCUUUUCUGGGUGCCUGUUUUGGAGAACGGUGGAAAUAGUAAUACCUACUAAAGCUUUUUAUACAAAAUGCACGCCUAACUUUUUUUUUACGCAGUAAUAAAGUGGCCAUAUUUG